GAAAUGCGAUAAGUAAUGUGAAUUGCAGAAUUCAGUGAAUCAUCGAAUCUUUGAACGCACAUUGCGCCCGCCAGCAUUCUGGCGGGCAUGCCUGUUCGAGCGUCAUUUCAACCCUCGAGCCCCCCCGGGGGCCUCGGUGUUGGGGGACGGCACACCAGCCGCCCCCGAAAUGCAGUGGCGACCCCGCCGCAGCCUCCCCUGCGUAGUAGCACACACCUCGCACCGGAGCGCGGAGGCGGUCACGCCGUAAAACGCCCAACUUUCUUAGAGUUGACAUCGGAUCAGGUAGGAAUACCCGCUGAACUUAAGC
Molecule: unclassified non-coding RNA, 310 nt
Filed under: plant metagenome
Description: partial contains 5.8S ribosomal RNA, internal transcribed spacer 2, and large subunit ribosomal RNA
Rfam family: 5.8S ribosomal RNA (bases 1-105)
Source: RNAcentral